Molecule: ribosomal RNA, 253 nt
Filed under: uncultured bacterium
Lineage: Bacteria
Description: partial 16S ribosomal RNA
Rfam family: Bacterial small subunit ribosomal RNA
Source: RNAcentral
UACGUAGGGUGCAAGCGUUGUCCGGAAUUAUUGGGCGUAAAGAGCUCGUAGGCGGCCUGUCGCGUCGGCUGUGAAAACCCGAGGCUCAACCUCGGGCCUGCAGUCGAUACGGGCAAACUAGAGUACUGCAGGGGAGACUGGAAUUCCUGGUGUAGCGGUGAAAUGCGCAGAUAUCAGGAGGAACACCGGUGGCGAAGGCGGGUCUCUGGGCAGUAACUGACGCUGAGGAGCGAAAGCGUGGGUAGCAAACAGG